UGGGGAAUAUUGCGCAAUGGGCGAAAGCCUGACGCAGCGACGCCGCGUGGAGGAUGAAGGUCUUCGGAUUGUAAACUUCUGUUAAGUGAGAGGAAAUACCCAUACUUAAUACGUAUGGGGGAUGACUGUAUCAUUAGAGAAAGCACCGGCUAAACUCGUGCCAGCAGCCGCGGUAAUACGAGUGGUGCAAGCGUUAUUCGGAAUAAUUGGGCGUAAAGGGUGUGUAGACGGCAUGCUAAGUCAAUUGUUAAAUUCUCCGGCCUAACCGGAGGCAAGCAGUAGAAACUGGCGUGCUAGAGGGUGGAAGAGAGAAGCGGAAUUCUCGGAGUAGCGGUAAAAUGCGUAGAUCUCGAGAGGAACACCAAUGGCGAAGGCAGCUUCUUGGUCCAUUUCUGACGUUGAAACACGAAAGCGUGGGGAGCAAACAGGAUUAGAUACCCCCGUAGUCC
Molecule: ribosomal RNA, 449 nt
Filed under: uncultured bacterium
Lineage: Bacteria
Description: bacterial SSU rRNA
Rfam family: Bacterial small subunit ribosomal RNA
Source: RNAcentral